This 304-nucleotide long non-coding RNA is filed under the name Sorghum bicolor (sorghum). RNAcentral describes it as "long non-coding RNA (SBIC_LNC007213)". The record is from RNAcentral. Lineage: Eukaryota; Viridiplantae; Streptophyta; Magnoliopsida; Poales; Poaceae.
UAGCAUUUAAAUAAUUUUCGGAAAAUUAAAAUUUAUCAUAAGUUUAGUAACAUGAUUUUGUGCAUUCAUGUUGAGACAUAUUUUAUUUUGUGUUGAUUGUUUUUGUUUAGAAAUAAAUUGUGCUUUCAAAAUUCUAUUUGGAGAAUGUUUUGGAAAAGAAACUAGAAAAGAAAAGAAGUAAAAAAAAGAAACCCCCCCCCAUGGAAACCAGCCGAGGCCGAGCUUCCCCACUUCCCCCUUCCCCGGCCCAUUUCCCCUUUCCCCGCGACCCACGCGCGCACCCUCCCUCUCUCCUUUCUGCCGC